GGCGUGGUUCGGUGACAAGCUGCCUAGCUUGUCGAAUUUAAAGGGCCAGAUAACAACCUUUACGAAGGAAGUUUUGUCGGAGGGCAUUGUAGAAACAAUAGACGAACGAUCUACAGCAUUAAAUGAAGCGAACAAAAGGUGUGUCGAACUUCAAGAAUUACUCAACUCGAAAGACGCUGAAAUUUCGCACCUGCGUCGGCAGAAUUGGGAGCUCCAGAAGACUGUCUUUGAACCGAACUCGAAACCAAAGGAUUCG
Dufourea novaeangliae is the source of this 256-nucleotide long non-coding RNA. RefSeq lists it as uncharacterized. NCBI's taxonomy places the organism in Eukaryota, Metazoa, Arthropoda, Insecta, Hymenoptera, Halictidae. The transcript is spliced from 3 exons. The record is from RefSeq and is a predicted model, not a curated record.